RNAcentral lists this ribosomal RNA (938 nucleotides) under uncultured bacterium. RNAcentral describes it as "bacterial SSU rRNA". It matches the Rfam family "Bacterial small subunit ribosomal RNA", at positions 8 to 916 of the family's 1533-position model. The record is from RNAcentral.
AGAGUUUGAUCCUGGCUCACCAAUGAACGCUGGCGGCGUGCUUAACACAUGCAAGUCGAACGAGAACACCCUGCUUCGGUGGGGUAAGUAAAGUGGCGCACGGGUGAGUAACGCGUAGGUAAUCUACCCUUGAAUCGGGGAUAACUUCGCGAAAGCGGGGCUAAUACCGGAUGAAGUCAUUUGGUUUGCGGACCGAGUGAUGAAAGGUAGCCACUGCAAGCAAGCUACUGUUUGGGGAUGAGCCUGCGUACCAUUAGCUAGUUGGUAGGGUAACGGCCUACCAAGGCGACGAUGGUUAGCUGGUCUGAGAGGAUGAUCAGCCACACUGGAACUGGAACACGGUCCAGACUCCUACGGGAGGCAGCAGUGAGGAAUUUUGCGCAAUGGGGGAAACCCUGACGCAGCAACGCCGCGUGAGUGAUGAAGGCCUUCGGGUCGUAAAGCUCUGUCAAGUGGGAAGAAGUUAUCUUGCUUUAAUGGAGUGAGGUAUUGACGGUACCACUGGAGGAAGCACCGGCUAACUCCGUGCCAGCAGCCGCGGUAAUACGGAGGGUGCGAGCGUUAUUCGGAAUUAUUGGGCGUAAAGGGCGCGUAGGCGGUUUAGUAAGUCAGAUGUGAAAGCCCUGGGCUUAACCCUGGAAGUGCAUUUGAUACUACUGGACUUGAGUAUGGGAGAGGGAAGCGGAAUUCCUGGUGUAGCGGUGAAAUGCGUAGACAUCAGGAGGAACACCGGUGGCGAAGGCGGCUUCCUGGACCAAUACUGACGCUGAGGCGCGAAGGCGUGGGGAGCAAACAGGAUUAGAUACCCUGGUAGUCCACGCAGUAAACGGUGAUCACUAGGUGUAGCGGGUAUUGACCCCUGCUGUGCCGCAGUCAACGCAUUAAGUGAUCCGCCUGGGAAGUACGAUCGCAAGGUUAAAACUCAAAUGAAUUGACGG